AAGUCGUAACAAGGUUUCCGUAGGUGAACCUGCGGAAGGAUCAUUCACAAACGAGUGUUUUAUGGCACUCUUUAAAAAUCCAUAUCCACCUUGUGUGCAAUGUUUGUUGGGAAAGUCUUUUCUUUCCCUUCAUAAAUAUCAACCUAUAUCUUUAACAACAUUCGUCUGAUAACAUAUUAUGAAUAUACUUAAUUCAAAAUAUAACUUUCAACAACGGAUCUCUUGGCUCUCGCAUCGAUGAAGAACGCAGCGAAAUGCGAUACGUAAUGUGAAUUGCAGAAUUCAGUGAAUCAUCGAAUCUUUGAACGCAUAUUGCGCUCUUUGGUAUUCCGAAGAGCAUGCUUGUUUGAGUAUCAGUAAACACCUCAACCUCUCUUUUUGACAAAAAAAGGAGGGUGGACUUGAGCUAUCCCAACGACCUUCACCGGUAGGCGGGCGGCUUGAAAUGCAGGUGCAGCUGGACUUUUAUCUGAGCUAAAAGCAUAUCUAUUUAGUCCUCGUCAAACAGGAUUAUUACUUUUGCUGCAGCUAACAUAAAGGAUAAUUGUCCUCCUUGCUGACUGAUGCAGGAUUUUACGACACUUUAUGUGUUGUUCAACUCGAUCUCAAAUCAAGUAAGACUACCCGCUGAACUUAA
RNAcentral lists this ribosomal RNA (637 nucleotides) under uncultured fungus. RNAcentral's name for it is "eukaryotic LSU rRNA". The stretch from base 203 to 356 matches the Rfam family "5.8S ribosomal RNA". The record is from RNAcentral. Lineage: Eukaryota; Fungi.